AAACCAGCACCUCAAGUGGUCAGGAGGAUUAUUGGGCCUAAAGCAUCCGUAGCCUGCUUUGUAAGUUUUCGGUUAAAUCCAUACGCUCAACGUAUGGGCUGCCGGAAAUACUGCAGAGCUAGGGAGUGGGAGAGGUAGACGGUACUCGGUAGGAAGGGGUAAAAUCCUUUGAUCUAUCGAUGACCACCUGUGGCGAAGGCGGUCUACCAGAACACGUCCGACGGUGAGGGAUGAAAGCUGGGGGAGCAAACCGGAUUAGAAACCCCGGUAGUCC
Molecule: ribosomal RNA, 274 nt
Filed under: uncultured bacterium
Lineage: Bacteria
Description: partial 16S ribosomal RNA
Rfam family: Archaeal small subunit ribosomal RNA
Source: RNAcentral